This 242-nucleotide ribosomal RNA is filed under the name uncultured bacterium. RNAcentral describes it as "partial 16S ribosomal RNA". It matches the Rfam family "Bacterial small subunit ribosomal RNA", at positions 796 to 1041 of the family's 1533-position model. The record is from RNAcentral.
CACGCCCUAAACGAUGAUUACUCGCUGUUGGCGAUAUACUGUCAGCGGCUAAGCGAAAGCGUUAAGUAAUCCACCUGGGGAGUACGAUCGCAAGGUUGAAACUCAAAGGAAUUGACGGGGGCCCGCACAAGCGGAGGAGCAUGUGGUUUAAUUCGAUGAUACGCGAGGAACCUUACCUGGGCUUAAAUGGCAUCGGACUGCUGCCGAAAGGUGGCUUUUCUUCGGAACUGAUGUCAAGGUGC